RNAcentral lists this ribosomal RNA (1487 nucleotides) under Amycolatopsis sp. RNAcentral's name for it is "bacterial SSU rRNA". It matches the Rfam family "Bacterial small subunit ribosomal RNA". The record is from RNAcentral. Lineage: Bacteria; Bacillati; Actinomycetota; Actinomycetes; Pseudonocardiales; Pseudonocardiaceae.
UGGCAGGGGGGGGUGCUACCAUGCAGUCGAACGAUGAAGCCUUUCGGGGUGGAUUAGUGGCGAACGGGUGAGUAACACGUGGGCAAUCUGCCCUGUACUUUGGGAUAAGCCUGGGAAACUGGGUCUAAUACCGGAUAUGACUGCUGAUCGCAUGGUUGGUGGUGGAAAGCUCCGGCGGUACAGGAUGAGCCCGCGGCCUAUCAGCUUGUUGGUGGGGUAAUGGCCUACCAAGGCGACGACGGGUAGCCGGCCUGAGAGGGUGACCGGCCACACUGGGACUGAGACACGGCCCAAACUCCUACGGGAGGCAGCAGUGGGGAAUAUUGCACAAUGGGCGCAAGCCUGAUGCAGCGACGCCGCGUGAGGGAUGACGGCCUUCGGGUUGUAAACCUCUUUCGCCAGGGACGAAGCGCAAGUGACGGUACCUGGAUAAGAAGCACCGGCUAACUACGUGCCAGCAGCCGCGGUAAUACGUAGGGGGGCGAGCGUUGUCCGGAAUUAUUGGGCGUAAAGAGCUCGUAGGCGGUUUGUCGCGUCUUUCGUGAAAACUCCGCGCUUAACGUGGAGUUUGCGGGGGAUAUUCACCCAUACAUCAGAUUUCCCUCCCAGGACGAGACUGGAGAUUCUCCAUGGGUAGCUAACGGGGAAAUGCGCACACAUGAUCUAGGAGGCACCCCCCCGUAGCGGCACAACGCGUGUCUCUGGCGCGCAAAAUCUGACGCUAUUAUAGAACAGAAGCGCUGCGAGACGCAACUUCCGGGAUUCGAAAGCCCGCGAGUAUUGCCCCCCGAAGACAACCCUUUGCGCCAUACGUGGGGUGGGCACACAUACAUCUUGUUGCUCUGUGCCCGAAAUAAACCAAAUAUAUCGCGCCCCUCCCCCUGGAGAAAACCUGCCCGUAAGCGCUUAAAACCCGAACGGAAUUGCCGGGGCCCCGCACAAUUGGCGGAGCAUGUGGAUUAAAUUUCGUUGCAACGCGAAGAACCUUACCUGGGUUUGACAUGCGCCCAGCCCCCCCCCAGAGAUAGGGCUUCCCUUGUGGUUGGUGUACAGGUGGUGCAUGGCCGUGGUCAGCUCGUGUCGUGAGAUGCUGGGUUAAGUCCGGCAACGAGCGCAACCCUUAUCCUACGUUGCCAGCGCGUCAUGGCGGGGAUUCGUGGGAGACUGCCGGGGUCAACUCGGAGGAAGGUGGGGAUGACGUCAAGUCAUCAUGCCCCUUAUGUCCAGGGCUUCACACAUGCUACAAUGGCUGGUACAGAGGGCUGCGAUACCGCGAGGUGGAGCGAAUCCCUUAAAGCCGGUCUCAGUUCGGAUCGCAGUCUGCAACUCGACUGCGUGAAGUUGGAGUCGCUAGUAAUCGCAGAUCAGCAACGCUGCGGUGAAUACGUUCCCGGGCCUUGAACACACCGCCCGUCACGUCAUGAAAGUCGGGAAACACCCGAAGCCCAUGUCCCGAACCCGUAAGUUGCAGCAGCUGGUUACCGCAA